GUGUCCUUAGUACAGAGGUUAGUACACUUGACAUCAACAUAGGAGACGUGGGCUCAAUCCCAACAGGACACA
This is a non-coding RNA of Puccinia sorghi, 72 nucleotides long. The record is from the annotation of a GenBank genome assembly. Lineage: Eukaryota; Fungi; Basidiomycota; Pucciniomycetes; Pucciniales; Pucciniaceae.